Molecule: small RNA, 108 nt
Filed under: Marmota monax (woodchuck)
Lineage: Eukaryota; Metazoa; Chordata; Mammalia; Rodentia; Sciuridae
Source: RNAcentral
GGUGGGUGCCGUGGCACACACCUGUAGUCCCAGCUACUUGGAGGCUGAGGCAGGAGGAUCACUUAAGCCCAGUUCAGAGCCAGUCUGGACAACAUGGUGAGACCCUUU